GGCUUAGCUCAGUUGGUAGAGCAACUGAUUUGUAAUCAGUGGGUCAUCAGUUCGAUUCCGUUAGCCG
Molecule: transfer RNA, 67 nt
Filed under: bovine gut metagenome
Rfam family: tRNA
About the family: Transfer RNA (tRNA) molecules are approximately 80 nucleotides in length. Their secondary structure includes four short double-helical elements and three loops (D, anti-codon, and T loops). Further hydrogen bonds mediate the characteristic L-shaped molecular structure. tRNAs have two regions of fundamental functional importance: the anti-codon, which is responsible for specific mRNA codon recognition, and the 3' end, to which the tRNAs corresponding amino acid is attached (by aminoacyl-tRNA synthetases). tRNAs cope with the degeneracy of the genetic code in two manners: having more than one tRNA (with a specific anti-codon) for a particular amino acid; and 'wobble' base-pairing, i.e. permitting non-standard base-pairing at the 3rd anti-codon position.
Source: RNAcentral